This 96-nucleotide transfer RNA is filed under the name Virgisporangium ochraceum. RNAcentral describes it as "tRNA-Sec". It matches the Rfam family "Selenocysteine transfer RNA". The record is from RNAcentral. Lineage: Bacteria; Bacillati; Actinomycetota; Actinomycetes; Micromonosporales; Micromonosporaceae.
GGAGGUGUCUGGGUGCCUGGUGGUCCCCGCGGUCUUCAAAACUGACGUGGCCGAGCACCUCGGCCAGGCGGGUUCGAUUCCCGUCCACCUCCGCCA